GGCAACAUAUAACUGAAGGCAAAGUUAAACUUCAAGAAGGUUAUGAGGUCUGGAUAUACCCAGCAGUACUGAACAUCAUAAAAGGAACAUCAAAUAAUUGCCAAUCAAGAAUUUUUGGUCAAUUGUUACAUCAUUUUCUGGGUGAAAAACUAGCAUCGUUAACUUCUAAGAAAAUACCUAGGGACGUAUAUAAUGCAUCACAUGCAUAUGCUCUUGAAAAUGCGACCAUUCCAUUUUCACUUACAGUUGGCAAAUGUGCUAAUAAUAAAUGCACAACAGAGAAAAAAAAGGAUUUGAAAAGAAAAAAAUUACCAUCAACUAGUUCACUUACAGUUAGCAAAUGUGCUAAUAA
Long non-coding RNA from Aphidius gifuensis, 352 nucleotides. RefSeq lists it as uncharacterized. The record is from RefSeq and is a predicted model, not a curated record. NCBI's taxonomy places the organism in Eukaryota, Metazoa, Arthropoda, Insecta, Hymenoptera, Braconidae. The transcript has 3 exons.